ACGUAGGGGGCGAGCGUUGUCCGGAUUCAUUGGGCGUAAAGCGCGCGUAGGCGGCUCCGCAAGUCGGCCGUGAAAUCUCCGGGCUCAACUCGGAGGGGUCGGGCGAGACUGCGGGGCUCGAGGUGGGCAGAGGGCAGUGGAAUUCCGGGUGUAGUGGUGGAAUGCGUAGAGAUCCGGAGGAACACCAGUGGCGAAGGCGGCUGCCUGGGCCUGGCCUGACGCUGAGGCGCGAAAGCGUGGGGAGCAAUCCGGA
Molecule: ribosomal RNA, 253 nt
Filed under: uncultured prokaryote
Description: partial 16S ribosomal RNA
Rfam family: Bacterial small subunit ribosomal RNA
Source: RNAcentral